This 415-nucleotide ribosomal RNA is filed under the name bacterium enrichment culture clone ALO1_GLFRUDD03GWG9D. RNAcentral's name for it is "bacterial SSU rRNA". It matches the Rfam family "Bacterial small subunit ribosomal RNA", at positions 9 to 428 of the family's 1533-position model. The record is from RNAcentral.
GAGUUUGAUCAUGGCUCAGAUUGAACGCUGGCGGCAUGCCUUACACAUGCAAGUCGAACGGCAGCACGGGAGCUUGCUCCUGGUGGCGAGUGGCGAACGGGUGAGUAAUGCAUCGGAACGUAUCCUGGAGUGGGGGAUAACGUAGCGAAAGUUACGCUAAUACCGCAUAUUCUGUGAGCAGGAAAGCGGGGGACCUUCGGGCCUCGCGCUCUUGGAGCGGCCGAUGUCGGAUUAGCUAGUUGGUGAGGUAAAGGCUCACCAAGGCGACGAUCCGUAGCAGGUCUGAGAGGAUGAUCUGCCACACUGGAACUGAGACACGGUCCAGACUCCUACGGGAGGCGAGCAGUGGGAAUUUUGGACAAUGGGGCAACCCUGAUCCAGCCAUGCCGCGUGAGUGAAGAAGGCCUCGGUGUAA